This 415-nucleotide ribosomal RNA is filed under the name uncultured crenarchaeote. RNAcentral's name for it is "partial 16S ribosomal RNA". It matches the Rfam family "Archaeal small subunit ribosomal RNA", at positions 330 to 747 of the family's 1478-position model. Lineage: Archaea; Thermoproteati; Thermoproteota. The record is from RNAcentral.
GCGCAGCAGUCGCGAAACCUUUGCAAUACACGCAAGUGUGACAGGGUCAUCCCGAGUGCCGACCGCUGAGGUUGGCUUUUACCCAGUCUAGAAAGCUGGGGGAAUAAGGAGAGGGCAAGUCUGGUGUCAGCCGCCGCGGUAAUACCAGCUCUCCGAGUGGUGUGGACGUUUAUUGGGCCUAAAGCAUCCGUAGCUGGCUGAACAAGUCCCCUGUUAAACCCACCGAUUUAAUCGUUGGCUUGCGGGGGAUACUGCUCGGCUAGGGGACGAGAGAGGCAGACGGUAUUCCCGGGGUAGGGGUGAAAUCCUAUAAUCCCGGGAAGACCACCAGUGGCGUAGGCGGUCGGCUAGCACGCGCUCGACAGUGAGGGACGAAAGCUGGGGUAGCGAACCGGAUUAGAUACCCGGGUAGUCC